AGGGUUUGAUCAUGGCUCAGAUUGAACGCUGGUGGUAUGCUUAACACAUGCAAGUCGAACGGUAACAUUGGAGCUUGCUCCAGAUGACGAGUGGCGGACGGGUGAGUAACGCGUAGGAAUCUGCCUAGUAGUGGGGGACAACAUGUGGAAACGCAUGCUAAUACCGCAUACGCCCUACGGGGGAAAGCGGGGGAUCUUCGGACCUCGCGCUAUUAGAUGAGCCUGCGUUAGAUUAGCUUGUUGGUGGGGUAAUGGCCUACCGAGGCGACGAUCUAUAGCUGGUCUGAGAGGACGAUCAGCCACACUGGGACUGAGACACGGCCCAGACUCCUACGGGAGGCAGCAGUGGGGAAUAUUGGACAAUGGGCGCAAGCCUGAUCCAGCAAUACCACGUGUGUGAAGAAGGCCUGAGGGUUGUAAAGCACUUUCAAUUGGGAGGAAAACAGCUGGGUUAAUAGCCCUGCUCUUGACAUUACCUUUAGAAGAAGCACCGGCUAACUCCGUGCCAGCAGCCGCGGUAAUACGGAGGGUGCGAGCGUUAAUCGGAAUUACUGGGCGUAAAGCGUACGUAGGCGGUUAUUUAAGUCAGAUGUGAAAGCCCCGGGCUCAACCUGGGAACUGCAUUUGAAACUGGAUAACUAGAGUUUGAUA
This 651-nucleotide ribosomal RNA is filed under the name uncultured bacterium. RNAcentral describes it as "bacterial SSU rRNA". It matches the Rfam family "Bacterial small subunit ribosomal RNA", at positions 8 to 653 of the family's 1533-position model. The record is from RNAcentral.